RNAcentral lists this ribosomal RNA (1308 nucleotides) under Escherichia coli O26:H11. RNAcentral's name for it is "bacterial LSU rRNA". It matches the Rfam family "Bacterial large subunit ribosomal RNA", at positions 1507 to 2795 of the family's 2925-position model. Lineage: Bacteria; Pseudomonadati; Pseudomonadota; Gammaproteobacteria; Enterobacterales; Enterobacteriaceae. The record is from RNAcentral.
CCGGUUUAAGCGUGUAGGCUGGUUUUCCAGGCAAAUCCGGAAAAUCAAGGCUGAGGCGUGAUGACGAGGCACUGCGGUGCUGAAGCAACAAAUGCCCUGCUUCCAGGAAAAGCCUCUAAGCAUCAGGUAACAUCAAAUCGUACCCCAAACCGACACAGGUGGUCAGGUAGAGAAUACCAAGGCGCUUGAGAGAACUCGGGUGAAGGAACUAGGCAAAAUGGUGCCGUAACUUCGGGAGAAGGCACGCUGAUAUGUAGGUGAAGUCCCUCGCGGAUGGAGCUGAAAUCAGUCGAAGAUACCAGCUGGCUGCAACUGUUUAUUAAAAACACAGCACUGUGCAAACACGAAAGUGGACGUAUACGGUGUGACGCCUGCCCGGUGCCGGAAGGUUAAUUGAUGGGGUUAGCGCAAGCGAAGCUCUUGAUCGAAGCCCCGGUAAACGGCGGCCGUAACUAUAACGGUCCUAAGGUAGCGAAAUUCCUUGUCGGGUAAGUUCCGACCUGCACGAAUGGCGUAAUGAUGGCCAGGCUGUCUCCACCCGAGACUCAGUGAAAUUGAACUCGCUGUGAAGAUGCAGUGUACCCGCGGCAAGACGGAAAGACCCCGUGAACCUUUACUAUAGCUUGACACUGAACAUUGAGCCUUGAUGUGUAGGAUAGGUGGGAGGCUUUGAAGUGUGGACGCCAGUCUGCAUGGAGCCGACCUUGAAAUACCACCCUUUAAUGUUUGAUGUUCUAACGUUGACCCGUAAUCCGGGUUGCGGACAGUGUCUGGUGGGUAGUUUGACUGGGGCGGUCUCCUCCUAAAGAGUAACGGAGGAGCACGAAGGUUGGCUAAUCCUGGUCGGACAUCAGGAGGUUAGUGCAAUGGCAUAAGCCAGCUUGACUGCGAGCGUGACGGCGCGAGCAGGUGCGAAAGCAGGUCAUAGUGAUCCGGUGGUUCUGAAUGGAAGGGCCAUCGCUCAACGGAUAAAAGGUACUCCGGGGAUAACAGGCUGAUACCGCCCAAGAGUUCAUAUCGACGGCGGUGUUUGGCACCUCGAUGUCGGCUCAUCACAUCCUGGGGCUGAAGUAGGUCCCAAGGGUAUGGCUGUUCGCCAUUUAAAGUGGUACGCGAGCUGGGUUUAGAACGUCGUGAGACAGUUCGGUCCCUAUCUGCCGUGGGCGCUGGAGAACUGAGGGGGGCUGCUCCUAGUACGAGAGGACCGGAGUGGACGCAUCACUGGUGUUCGGGUUGUCAUGCCAAUGGCACUGCCCGGUAGCUAAAUGCGGAAGAGAUAAGUGCUGAAAGCAUCUAAGCACGAAACUU